Molecule: ribosomal RNA, 508 nt
Filed under: uncultured bacterium
Lineage: Bacteria
Description: partial 16S ribosomal RNA
Rfam family: Bacterial small subunit ribosomal RNA
Source: RNAcentral
GACGAACGCUGGCGGCGUGCCUAAUACAUGCAAGUCGAACGCUUCUUUCCUCCCGAGUGCUUGCACUCAAUUGGAAAGAGGAGUGGCGGACGGGUGAGUAACACGUGGGUAACCUACCCAUCAGAGGGGGAUAACACUUGGAAACAGGUGCUAAUACCGCAUAACAGUUUAUGCCGCAUGGCAUAAGAGUGAAAGGCGCUUUCGGGUGUCGUUGAUGGAUGGACCCGCGGUGCAUUAGCUAGUUGGUGAGGUAACGGCUCACCAAGGCCACGAUGCAUAGCCGACCUGAGAGGGUGAUCGGCCACACUGGGACUGAGACACGGCCCAGACUCCUACGGGAGGCAGCAGUAGGGAAUCUUCGGCAAUGGACGAAAGUCUGACCGAGCAACGCCGCGUGAGUGAAGAAGGUUUUCUGAUCGUAAAACUCUGUUGUUAGAGAAGAACAAGGACGUUAGUAACUGAACGUCCCCUGACGGUAUCUAACCAGAAAGCCACGGCUAACUACGUG